GGCUUUGUAGCGGAAUUUUAAGACGUUAGAUUGCAAAUCUGAAGAUGCACGUUGUUGCCGAAGCUU
This 66-nucleotide transfer RNA is filed under the name Euphausia pacifica (North Pacific krill). RNAcentral's name for it is "tRNA-Cys". Lineage: Eukaryota; Metazoa; Arthropoda; Malacostraca; Euphausiacea; Euphausiidae. The record is from RNAcentral.